GGGCGGGUCCGGCGCGGCGGAGCCCUUCGAACCCCGUCAGGGCCGAAAGGCAGCAGCGGUAAGGAGGAGCCUCUGGGCGCCGCCGGGUGCCUGCCCGGC
RNAcentral lists this signal recognition particle RNA (99 nucleotides) under Chloroflexi bacterium RBG_13_66_10. RNAcentral's name for it is "signal recognition particle sRNA small type". It matches the Rfam family "Bacterial small signal recognition particle RNA". From Rfam's summary of the family: The signal recognition particle (SRP) is a universally conserved ribonucleoprotein involved in the co-translational targeting of proteins to membranes. Lineage: Bacteria; Bacillati; Chloroflexota. The record is from RNAcentral.